GAAAGCUGCAAGUGUAUGGAUUCUCCUUCACCAGGGGGCCAGGUGAUUCUUGAAGGAAUCACAAAGUGAAUAUUCUGAGAUGGAAAAAAAAAAAAAACUCAGGAAAUUUGUCAUUUUUGUAAGAUGCUGAUCUCCUGAAUAUUUCUUCAAGCUACCUAGACACGUGUCUGAUCUAAAUAAGGAGGCUGCUUCAGAAAUUCUUCACAAAUACCCCAAGAAAUCAUAGAAUGGGGGUCUGUGACCUUUGCCUUCACAAAAAAAAUGUUUAAAUCUUCCCACUGAUCAAAGAAUGAAAAUAUCAUUAAAAAUAGUUUCAGAGAGAUUGGAACAGGAAGCAGAAGAUGUUAGUA
Neogale vison (American mink) is the source of this 350-nucleotide long non-coding RNA. RefSeq lists it as uncharacterized. The record is from RefSeq and is a predicted model, not a curated record. The transcript has 3 exons. Lineage: Eukaryota; Metazoa; Chordata; Mammalia; Carnivora; Mustelidae.